This 433-nucleotide ribosomal RNA is filed under the name uncultured bacterium. Its description in RNAcentral is "partial 16S ribosomal RNA". It matches the Rfam family "Bacterial small subunit ribosomal RNA", at positions 29 to 507 of the family's 1533-position model. The record is from RNAcentral.
AACGAACGCUGGCGGCAUGCCUAACACAUGCAAGUCGAACGAGACCUUCGGGUCUAGUGGCGCACGGGUGCGUAACGCGUGGGAACCUGCCCUUAGGUUCGGAAUAACUCCCCGAAAGGGGUGCUAAUACCGGAUAAUGUCUUCGGACCAAAGAUUUAUCGCCUUUGGAUGGGCCCGCGUUGGAUUAGCUAGUUGGUAGGGUAAAAGCCUACCAAGGCGACGAUCCAUAGCUGGUCUGAGAGGAUGAUCAGCCACACUGGGACUGAGACACGGCCCAGACUCAUGGGGGAGGAGGGGGGGGGGAAUAUGGAAAAAGGGGGGAAGGCUUGAGACAGCAGGGCCGGGGGAGUGAAAAGGGCCUUGGGGUUGAAAAGUUUUUUACCGGGGGAGGAAAAGAACAGUGCGGGGAAAAAAAGCCCGGGCUAACUCGGUG